GAUGAACUCUGGCGGCGUGCCUAAUACAUGCAAGUCGAGCGAACGGACGAGAAGCUUGCUUCUGUGAUGUUAGCGGCGGACGGGUGAGUAACACGUGGAUAACCUACCUAUAAGACUGGGGUAACUUCGGGAAACCGGAGCUACUACAGGCUAAUAUUUUGAACCGCAUGGUUCAAAAGGGAAAGACGGUCUUGCUGUCACUUAUAGAUGGAUCCGCGCUGGAUUAGCUAGUUGGUAAGGUAACGGCCUACCAAGGCAACGAUGCAUAGCCGACCUGAGAGGGUGAUCGGCCACACUGGAACUGAGACACGGUCCAGACUCCUACGGGAGGCAGCAGUAGGGAAUCUUCCGCAAUGGGCGAAAGCCUGACGCAGCAACGCCGCGUGAGUGAUGAAGGUCUUCGGAUCGUAAAGCUCUGUUAUUAGGGAAGAACAUAUGUGUAAGUAACUGUGCACAUCUUGACGGUACCUAAUCAGAAAGCCACGGCUAACUACGUG
Molecule: ribosomal RNA, 497 nt
Filed under: uncultured bacterium
Lineage: Bacteria
Description: partial 16S ribosomal RNA
Rfam family: Bacterial small subunit ribosomal RNA
Source: RNAcentral